UACGUAGGGGGCAAGCGUUACUCGGAAUUACUGGGCGUAAAGCGUGCGCAGGCGGCUUUGUAAGUCUGGCGUGAAAGCCCCGGGCUCAACCUGGGAAUUGCGAUGGAGACUGCAAGGCUUGAAUCUGGCAGAGGGGGGUAGAAUUCCACGUGUAGCAGUGAAAUGCGUAGAGAUGUGGAGGAACACCGAUGGCGAAGGCAGCCCCCUGGGUCAAGAUUGACGCUCAUGCACGAAAGCGUGGGGAGCAAACAGG
RNAcentral lists this ribosomal RNA (253 nucleotides) under uncultured bacterium. Its description in RNAcentral is "partial 16S ribosomal RNA". It matches the Rfam family "Bacterial small subunit ribosomal RNA", at positions 524 to 776 of the family's 1533-position model. The record is from RNAcentral.